GCAAACUUGGUCAUUUAGAGGAAGUAAAAGUCGUAACAAGGUUUCCGUAGGUGAACCUGCGGAAGGAUCAUUAAUGAAUACCCUGGACGCUCUUUUUAGAGGUCCGACCCUUCAUUACCUUCACACUGUGCACACACUUCAUUUUUACACCCAUUUUUGAACACUACAGUAUAAGAAUGUACCAGUCUCUUGAUUGAGCAUAAAUACAUAAUAAAACUUUCAGCAACGGAUCUCUUGGCUCUCGCAUCGAUGAAGAACGCAGC
RNAcentral lists this unclassified non-coding RNA (263 nucleotides) under uncultured fungus. RNAcentral's name for it is "partial contains small subunit ribosomal RNA, internal transcribed spacer 1, and 5.8S ribosomal RNA". The stretch from base 1 to 73 matches the Rfam family "Eukaryotic small subunit ribosomal RNA", at positions 1759 to 1831 of the family's 1831-position model. Lineage: Eukaryota; Fungi. The record is from RNAcentral.